Molecule: non-coding RNA, 86 nt
Organism: Podarcis lilfordi (Lilford's wall lizard)
Lineage: Eukaryota; Metazoa; Chordata; Lepidosauria; Squamata; Lacertidae
Source: the annotation of a GenBank genome assembly
CGCUGUUCUGGCUUAGGAACAGCCUUGCUAGCUUCACCCCGCUGUCCUGCAGAAGCUAGCAAGGCUGUUCCUAAGCCAGAACAGCG